This 492-nucleotide ribosomal RNA is filed under the name uncultured bacterium. RNAcentral describes it as "partial 16S ribosomal RNA". It matches the Rfam family "Bacterial small subunit ribosomal RNA", at positions 29 to 507 of the family's 1533-position model. The record is from RNAcentral.
AGUGAACGCUGGCGGUAGGCCUAACACAUGCAAGUCGAACGGCAGCACAGUAAGAGCUUGCUCUUACGGGUGGCGAGUGGCGGACGGGUGAGGAAUACAUCGGAAUCUACUUUUUCGUGGGGGAUAACGUAGGGAAACUUACGCUAAUACCGCAUACGACCUACGGGUGCAAGCAGGGGAUCUUCGGACCUUGCGCGAUUGAAUGAGCCGAUGUCGGAUUAGCUAGUUGGCGGGGUAAAGGCCCACCAAGGCGACGAUCCGUAGCUGGUCUGAGAGGAUGAUCGGCCACACUGGAACUGAGACACGGUCCAGACUCCUACGGGAGGCAGCAGUGGGGAAUAUUGGACAAUGGGCGCAAGCCUGAUCCAGCCAUACCGCGUGGGUGAAGAAGGCCUUCGGGUUGUAAAGCCCUUUUGUUGGGAAAGAAAAGCAGCAGGUUAAUACCCCGCUGUUCUGACGGUACCCAAAGAAUAAGCACCGGCUAACUUCGUG